CCUACGGGGGGCUGCAGUGGGGAAUAUUGGACAAUGGGGGGAACCCUGAUCCAGCGACGCCGCGUGAGUGAAGAAGUAUUUCGGUAUGUAAAGCUCUAUCAGCAGGGAAGAAAGGAAUGACGGUCCCUGACUAAGAAGCCCCGGCUAACUACGUGCCAGCAGCCGCGGUAAUACGUAGGGGGCAAGCGUUAUCCGGAUUUACGGGGUGUAAAGGGAGCGUAGACGGUUACGCAAGUCUGGAGUGAAAGGCGGGGGCCCAACCCCCGGACUGCUUUGGAAACUGUAGAACUGGAGUGAAGGAGAGGUAAGUGGAAUUCCUAGUGUAGCGGUGAAAUGCGUAGAUAUUAGGAGGAACACCAGUGGCGAAGGCGGCUUACUGGACUGUAACUGACGUUGAGGCUCGAAAGCGUGGGGAGCAAACAGGAUUAGAUACCCUUGUAGUC
Molecule: ribosomal RNA, 443 nt
Filed under: uncultured bacterium
Lineage: Bacteria
Description: partial 16S ribosomal RNA
Rfam family: Bacterial small subunit ribosomal RNA
Source: RNAcentral